UCCAAUGCUUUAUGCUUCCUUUUGCUACUUCUACUGGAACUUGUUUGCCUUUAUUACACCAGGCAGAAAAGCUCCAGUGGAAGUAGCAAGGGGAAGCUGGCAUUGGU
RNAcentral lists this microRNA precursor (107 nucleotides) under Prunus persica (peach). RNAcentral's name for it is "miR6275 stem-loop (ppe-MIR6275)". Lineage: Eukaryota; Viridiplantae; Streptophyta; Magnoliopsida; Rosales; Rosaceae. The record is from miRBase by way of RNAcentral.